Molecule: long non-coding RNA, 221 nt
Filed under: Manihot esculenta (cassava)
Lineage: Eukaryota; Viridiplantae; Streptophyta; Magnoliopsida; Malpighiales; Euphorbiaceae
Description: long non-coding RNA (MESC_LNC007418)
Source: RNAcentral
AAGGAUGAAUUUGUCACCAAUAGCCCUCUACAUUUCCAUUAGUGCCAGAACGUAGAAUGGGUCCUGGUCUUUCUCUUACAUAACAUAACAUAACAUUCCAAGAUGCCAGGGACGUAAAAUGGGUCUUCCUGGACUUUCUCUUACAUAGUGCCAGGGACGUAGAAUGGGUCUUCCUGGACUUCCAUACCGUAUCAUCAUCAUAUCAUGACAUAACAUAUGAG